RNAcentral lists this small nuclear RNA (133 nucleotides) under Dodecaceria sp. AMW23009. RNAcentral describes it as "partial U2 small nuclear RNA". It matches the Rfam family "U2 spliceosomal RNA", at positions 25 to 156 of the family's 192-position model. From Rfam's summary of the family: U2 is a small nuclear RNA (snRNA) component of the spliceosome (involved in pre-mRNA splicing). Complementary binding between U2 snRNA (in an area lying towards the 5' end but 3' to hairpin I) and the branchpoint sequence (BPS) of the intron results the bulging out of an unpaired adenosine, on the BPS, which initiates a nucleophilic attack at the intronic 5' splice site, thus starting the first of two transesterification reactions that mediate splicing. Lineage: Eukaryota; Metazoa; Annelida; Polychaeta; Terebellida; Cirratulidae. The record is from RNAcentral.
GAUCAAAGUGUAGUAUCUGUUCUUAUCAGCUUAAUAUCUGAUACGAUCCUCACUGAGGAUCUACGAUAUUAAACUGAUUUUUGGAACUGGGGGAAGAUGCAGGAGCUUGCUCCGACUUCCCCACGGGUUGGCC